AUGCCUAAAGGAGGGAGAAAAGGGGGCCACAAAGGCCGAGCAAGGCAGUAUACGAGCUCUGAGGAGAUCGACACACAACACCAGGCUGAAAAGCAGAAGGCCAGGGAAGAAGAGGAACAAGGAGAAGAAGCUGGAGAUGGGGUUGCAGGUCCCGAAAAGGAGAAGAGAUUUCUAGACUCAGAUGAGAGUGAAGAUGAAGAUGACUACCAGCAAAAAGCAAAGGUGUCGAAGAGCUCAUCGACAUCGAGAACCCCAACCGGAUGGCACAGACAACCAAAAAGGUUACCCAACUGGAUCUAGACGGGUCAAAAUUGCUUUCAAGGAGAGAACUAGAAGAAAUUGAGAAGUAGAAGGCAAAAGAGCGUUACAUGAAAAUGCAUUUAGCUGGGAAGGCAGAGUAAUCCAAGGCUGACUUUGGCCAUCAUCUGGAAACAGCGGAAGGGGCCUGCCAGGAAUAAAGAAGAGAGAAGCAAAAGAUGAUGCCACGUUGUCAGGAAGACGAAUGCAGUCACUCUCUCUGAAUAAGUAAGCAUGACUGUGGGAGGAGAUGCCAGAGAACUGGGUCAUGCUGCCAGUAUCUCUGCUGUGUCUCUCCCACCCUGUGCCCUGGUGCCGCUGCAACAGCCCCUCGUGGCCAGGAGCCCCCCACAGCCUGGGGCAUCCUUUUCAUCCUGGCACAUAAAUUGUUUGGGGGAAUGCAGGGGGUGGGGCUGGGGGAGGAGCAGCUGCUAUCUUUGAGACAGAAAGAUGCAGGACAGCAUUUCAUAUGUAACCAUUUGAAUGUUUCCGCUGUUUUUAGAAUUCAGAACCCAUGUUGGGAGGGUGCCUGGGAGGUGGGGUAAGAAGAGCUUCCAUUUGUCUGGUAGAUUGCACGUUAGUGGGCGGUUGUGCCAGGAGGCAGCUGCUGACAAGCAAAACAUGUUCUACAAAUUCAACUUGUAUAAUUGGCAGAUUAAACCUGACAUUAUUGUAAAAAAAAAAAAAAAAAA
Molecule: RNA transcript, 989 nt
Organism: Carlito syrichta (Philippine tarsier)
Lineage: Eukaryota; Metazoa; Chordata; Mammalia; Primates; Tarsiidae
Gene name: 28 kDa heat- and acid-stable phosphoprotein pseudogene
Exons: 2
Source: RefSeq, a predicted model, not a curated record